This 90-nucleotide transfer RNA is filed under the name Felis catus (domestic cat). It matches the Rfam family "tRNA". From Rfam's summary of the family: Transfer RNA (tRNA) molecules are approximately 80 nucleotides in length. Lineage: Eukaryota; Metazoa; Chordata; Mammalia; Carnivora; Felidae. The record is from Rfam by way of RNAcentral.
GCCUGGGUGGCUCAUUUGGUUAAGUGUCUGACUUCAGCUCAGGUCAUGAUCUUGCAGUCCAGUCUGUGGGUUCAAGCCCCGCUUCGGGCU